Molecule: ribosomal RNA, 440 nt
Filed under: uncultured bacterium
Lineage: Bacteria
Description: partial 16S ribosomal RNA
Rfam family: Bacterial small subunit ribosomal RNA
Source: RNAcentral
CCUACGGGUGGCAGCAGGGGGGGAUAUUGCACAAUGGGGGGAACCCUGAUGCAGCGACGCCGCGGGGGUGAAGAAGCGCCUCGGCGCGUAAAGCCCUGUCAGCAGGGAAGAAAAUGACGGUACCUGAAGAAGAAGCCCCGGCUAACUACGUGCCAGCAGCCGCGGUAAUACGUAGGGGGCAAGCGUUAUCCGGAUUUACUGGGGGGAAAGGGGGCGCCGACGGCGAGGCAAGCCAGGAGUGAAAGCCCGGGGCCCAACCCCGGGACGGCUCUUGGAACUGCGUGGCUGGAGUGCAGGAGGGGCAGGCUGAAUUCCUGGUGUAGCGGUGAAAUGCGUAGAUAUCAGGAGGACCCCCGGUGGCGACGGCGGCCUGCUGGACUGCAACUGCCGUUGAGGCCCGAACGCGUGGGGAGCAAACAGGAUUAGCUACCCCAGUAGUC